Mustela erminea (ermine) is the source of this 697-nucleotide long non-coding RNA. RefSeq lists it as uncharacterized. The transcript is spliced from 4 exons. The record is from RefSeq and is a predicted model, not a curated record. Lineage: Eukaryota; Metazoa; Chordata; Mammalia; Carnivora; Mustelidae.
CAGGUGCCCCCAUUUUUCUCUUGCGCAAAGCAUUGCCAUCAAAAAGCCUGAUGAAAAUCUGAAAGAGAGUGGGCUUAUGGCUAAGAAGAUUAAACUUCAUCUUGCUGGAGGGGGCAGAAGCCAAAGGAGGGAUGGUGGCUUUCUAAGGAGACCCACAGUGCCACUGGCAAAGCUGUGAGAAGAAUCCAGGCUCUCCCAGCCACUCAGCAAAAAGGACCACAAGGAAUAACACUCACAGACCAAAGUGCUUACAAGGAAUUCCUUUGGAAGAACUGGGCUCUUGGAUAGAACACACAGAAGGUGCCCAAUGUUACUUCCAUUCAAUCAUACUUCUCAAUUCUGCGUCCACACCUUGCAAGAACAAGCCCCCGGCCCAAAGACCUGCAUUCCAGCCCCUUUCCUGGACCUCUGGGGCCACAAAGUCUCCCCAGAUUAGUCCCUCUCCUGCAACUCUCCUGCAAGGUUCUGAUAGUCCUCAACUCUCCAUCCUGACAGGAUAAAGGGAUUGAGAAUGUACUAAGUGUUCCAAAGACCUGGCAAAGGCCAAGUGCUGACUGGAUGGUAAUAAAGAGGGGAGAAUCUAUUUGUCUCCAGUAAACCAGUACUUCUCCACAUUCUUCAAACUCUCCAUUUAAAAGCCAUACUCAUGGGGCACCUGGGUGUCUCCGUUGUUAAGUCUGCCUUCAAUUCAGGACAU